UGGGGAAUUUUGGACAAUGGGCGAAAGCCUGAUCCAGCAAUGCCGCGUGUGUGAAGAAGGCCUUCGGGUUGUAAAGCACUUUUGUCCGGAAAGAAAUCCUUGGCUCUAAUACAGUCGGGGGAUGACGGUACCGGAAGAAUAAGCACCGGCUAACUACGUGCCAGCAGCCGCGGUAAUACGUAGGGUGCAAGCGUUAAUCGGAAUUACUGGGCGUAAAGCGUGCGCAGGCGGUUUGCUAAGACCGAUGUGAAAUCCCCGGGCUCAACCUGGGAACUGCAUUGGUGACUGGCAGGCUAGAGUAUGGCAGAGGGGGGUAGAAUUCCACGUGUAGCAGUGAAAUGCGUAGAGAUGUGGAGGAAUACCGAUGGCGAAGGCAGCCCCCUGGGCCAAAUACUGACGCUCAUGCACGAAAGCGUGGGGGAGCAAAACAGGAUUAGAUACCCUGGUAGUCCACGCCCUAAAACGAUGUCAACUAGUUGUUGGGGAUUCAUUUCCUUAGUAACGUAGCUAACGCGUGAAGUUGAUCGCCUGGGGAGUACGGUCGCAAGAUUAAAACUCAAAGGAAUUGACGGGGUCAUAGCUGUUUCCU
RNAcentral lists this ribosomal RNA (589 nucleotides) under uncultured bacterium. RNAcentral's name for it is "partial 16S ribosomal RNA". It matches the Rfam family "Bacterial small subunit ribosomal RNA", at positions 355 to 1375 of the family's 1533-position model. The record is from RNAcentral.